AGAGAUAGGAGAUGUAGUGUUAGAGUUGGUCAUGUUGUUUUCUUUGAUAUGGUUUCGUUUGGAUCAAUCUCGCUAGAUCUUUGACGUGUUGCAACCGACUAUACAUUUGAUGAGGAAUCGCUGCGAAUCUCUUCUAUUUAUUGUUCGACAGAAUGUCCACAAGGAUUUUGCAGCUAAUACCAUUAGAGAUUAGUGACCACAUCACUUAUUCUUAGGUGUGGCAAGGGGCUAGGAAAGGAAGCUGUUG
This is a long non-coding RNA of Impatiens glandulifera, 247 nucleotides long. RefSeq lists it as uncharacterized. The transcript is spliced from 3 exons. The record is from RefSeq and is a predicted model, not a curated record. NCBI's taxonomy places the organism in Eukaryota, Viridiplantae, Streptophyta, Magnoliopsida, Ericales, Balsaminaceae.